ACUACGAGCCCUAUGAUAGCAGUGAUGGUAUUAUAGCGAGGAUUUCACCCUCAUUAAGAUGGCCAAUACUGGUGGUAGUGGUGGCAAUCAAUUUUAAAACGGUGAUAAGGGGUUGCAUGCUGUUUGUCAACAAUCGAAGAACAAACCACAUCUUUUGGCAAUAUAGAGCAUCAAUUACAAGAGAUUCAAGAGCAAUUGCAUGUCGUGUUGGGAGUUCGUGAUGUUAAGAAGAGAAGCCAUAAGUUGAAUUAAGCUGGAGGAGUUAACCACGUCAUAGUUAAUAUGAUUCUGUUCUAUUUAAUUCGAGAAAAAAACUUAUUACUAAUGAUGAAUAUAGAGGAAGUGUUGUUCAAGUAUUAUGUACUUCAACAGAAACGAAGAAUAUGGAGGUUGAAGUAAAGUUUGUUGAGACAUCAAAAGAUGUUGAAAAUUUGAAGCAAGAAUAAAG
Molecule: unclassified non-coding RNA, 448 nt
Filed under: Hevea brasiliensis (rubber tree)
Lineage: Eukaryota; Viridiplantae; Streptophyta; Magnoliopsida; Malpighiales; Euphorbiaceae
Source: RNAcentral